This 321-nucleotide small nucleolar RNA is filed under the name Gouania willdenowi (blunt-snouted clingfish). RNAcentral describes it as "Small Cajal body-specific RNA 2 (ENSGWIG00000020584.1)". It matches the Rfam family "Small Cajal body-specific RNA 2". Lineage: Eukaryota; Metazoa; Chordata; Actinopteri; Blenniiformes; Gobiesocidae. The record is from Rfam by way of RNAcentral.
UCUUUUCCGUGUGUGUGCGUCUGAGAGAAUGGUGUCUAUUUGUUUGUCUGUCUUCAUGUGUUCAUUUUAAACCUACACACUGAUCUUAUUUGAUUCGUUCUGAGCGUGGCUCUGCUCGGAACGGAGAUGAUAUGAAGAACAGAGCGCUAGCUGCGUUAGCUGCGUUAGCAAUGAGCGACUCUCGAGAUUUACUUAAGGGCCUCCACGCCUCGUGUUGUGGUCAGAGGUGAUGAAUUUGAUCAGAUAUACUAGUUCUGCCUAAGUUUGAGUUCAUCUCGAGCUGAACGCAAGACUCUGAGUAAAGAGGCGAUUCUGAUCUGA